AGUGAACGCUGGCGGUAGGCCUAACACAUGCAAGUCGAACGGCAGCACGGUAAGAGCUUCCUCUUACGGGUGGCGAGUGGCGGACGGGUGAGGAAUACAUCGGACUCUACGUUUUCGUGGGGGAUAACGUAGGGAAACUUACGCUAAUACCGCAUACGACCUACGGGUGAGAGCAGGGGAUCUUCGGACCUUGCGCGAGUGAAUGCGCCGAUGUCGGAUUAGCUAGUUGGUGGGGUAAAGGCCCACCAAGGCGACGAUCCGUAGCUGGUCUGAGAGGAUGAUCAGCCACACUGGAACUGAGACACGGUCCAGACUCCUACGGGAGGCAGCAGUGGGGAAUAUUGGACAAUGGGCGCAAGCCUGAUCCAGCCAUGCCGCGUGUGUGAAGAAGGCCUUCGGGUUGUAAAGCACUUUUAGUGGGAAAGAAGAGCAGCAGGUUAAUACCCCGCUGUUUUGACGGUACCCAAAGAAUAAGCACCGGCUAACUUCGUG
Molecule: ribosomal RNA, 492 nt
Filed under: uncultured bacterium
Lineage: Bacteria
Description: partial 16S ribosomal RNA
Rfam family: Bacterial small subunit ribosomal RNA
Source: RNAcentral